This 253-nucleotide ribosomal RNA is filed under the name uncultured bacterium. RNAcentral describes it as "partial 16S ribosomal RNA". It matches the Rfam family "Bacterial small subunit ribosomal RNA", at positions 524 to 776 of the family's 1533-position model. The record is from RNAcentral.
UACAGAGACUGCAAGCGUUAUUCGGAUUCACUGGGCGUAAAGGGUGCGCAGGCGGCCAAGUGUGUGAGGCGUGAAAGCCUGGAGCUUAACUCCAGAAUUGCACCUCAAACUACAUGGCUAGAGCAUUGGAGAGGGUAGCGGAAUUCACUGUGUAGCAGUGAAAUGCGUAGAUAUCGUGAGGAACACCAGAGGCGAAGGCGGCUACCUGGACAAUUGCUGACGCUCAGGCACGAAAGCGUGGGGAGCAAAAGGG